This 139-nucleotide transfer RNA is filed under the name Nanobdellota archaeon. RNAcentral describes it as "tRNA-Arg". The record is from RNAcentral. Lineage: Archaea; Nanobdellati; Nanobdellota.
GCCCGUGUAGUUUACCGGAUCAGAAUGCGAGGUUGCGGACCUUGUGGACGGGGUUCAAUUUGCGGAAAGCGAGUAAAUAAGCGAGCGAAAGCGAGCUUUCGCAACUCAGUGCUGCCGUAUGCAAGUCCCCGCACGGGCA